GACGAACGCUGGCGGCGUGCCUAAUACAUGCAAGUUGAGCGAUGAAGCUUGGUGCUUGCUCCAAUUUGAAGAGCAGCGAACGGGUGAGUAACGCGUGGGGAAUCUGCCUUUGAGCGGGGGACAACAUUUGGAAACGAAUGCUAAUACCGCAUAAUAACUUUAAACAUAAGUUUUAAGUUUGAAAGAUGCAAUUGCAUCACUCAAAGAUGAUCCCGCGUUGUAUUAGCUAGUUGGUGAGGUAAAGGCCCACCAAGGCGAUGAUACAUAGCCGACCUGAGAGGGUGGACGGCCACAUUGGGACUGGGACACGGCCCAAACUCCUACGGGAGGCAGCAGGAGGGAAUCUUCGGCAAUGGACGAAAGUCUGACCGAGCAACGCCGCGUGAGGGAAGAAGGGUUUCGGAUCGUAAAACUCUGUUGGUAGAGAAGAACGUUGGUGAGAGUGGAAAGCGCAUCAAGUGACGGUAACUACCCAGAAAGGGACGGCUAACUACGUG
Molecule: ribosomal RNA, 497 nt
Filed under: uncultured bacterium
Lineage: Bacteria
Description: partial 16S ribosomal RNA
Rfam family: Bacterial small subunit ribosomal RNA
Source: RNAcentral